Molecule: ribosomal RNA, 603 nt
Filed under: uncultured fungus
Lineage: Eukaryota; Fungi
Description: eukaryotic LSU rRNA
Rfam family: Eukaryotic large subunit ribosomal RNA
Source: RNAcentral
ACCCGCUGAACUUAAGCAUAUCAAUAAGGGGAGGAAAAGAAACCAACAGGGAUUGCCUCAGUAACGGCGAGUGAAGCGGCAAAAGCUCAAAUUUGAAAUCUGGCGUCUUCGGCGUCCGAGUUGUAAUUUGUAGAGGUAGCUUUGGGUGUACAGCCAGGUCUAUGUUCCUUGGAAUAGGACGUCAUGGAGGGUGAGAAUCCCGUAAAUGGCUUGGCCAGUGCCUAUGUAUAGCGCCUUCGACGAGUCGAGUUGUUUGGGAAUGCAGCUCUAAGUGGGUGGUAAAUUCCAUCUAAAGCUAAAUACUGGCGAGAGACCGAUAGCGCACAAGUAGAGUGAUCGAAAGGUGAAAAGCACUCCGGAAGGAGAGUUAAACAGCACGUGAAAUUGUUGAAAGGGAAGCGCUUGAGACCAGACUCAGGUAAAGUUGAUCAACCUCCAUUCUUGGUGGUGCACUCUUCUUUGCCCGGGCCAGCAACAGUUUUGGCGGUGGUAUAAAGGUUUAGGGAAUGUGGCUCUCUUCGGGGAGUGUUAUAGCCCUAUUCGUAAUGCUGCCUGUCGAGACUGAGGACCGCGCUUCGGCUAGGUUGUUGGCAUAAUGGUCUU